GUCCUGGAAAAGGGGAAACCUCGACAUUGGCAGCACAUAUACUAAAACUGGAACGAUACAGAGAAGAGUAGCAUGGCCCCUGCGCAAGGAUGACAUNGCUGGAAUUAAACUGCUGUU
Molecule: small nuclear RNA, 117 nt
Filed under: Gopherus agassizii (Agassiz's desert tortoise)
Lineage: Eukaryota; Metazoa; Chordata; Testudines; Testudinidae
Source: RNAcentral